Molecule: long non-coding RNA, 4076 nt
Filed under: Coffea arabica (coffee)
Lineage: Eukaryota; Viridiplantae; Streptophyta; Magnoliopsida; Gentianales; Rubiaceae
Description: long non-coding RNA (CARA_LNC004038)
Source: RNAcentral
AGGUUCCAAAGAAAGUUGAUCCUCAAAGAGCUGAAGAUCCAAAGGCUCAGAAAAUAAUAGUGAAACGGAACCUUGGAGUUGGUUUUGGCAACUUAACGGCUACAGCUGACAAUAUUCCGCCAGGAUCUGAUGAAACUAAACAUCUAGAAGCAGCUGAGAUUAUAGUAAAGGCAGCAUCUAACUGUUGUGGGAAACUCUGCGAUUACUGCUGCUGCAUGUGCUGUAUUAAAGUAUGCUCACGGUUGAAUGACCAGUGUGCGGUUGUCCUAACGCAACUCUGCGGUUCCUUGGCAUGCCUAGGCUGCUACACUUGUUGUGGUGCAUGCUGCCCCGGGCAGGAUGGAUGAGAACCUAUCGCGUCUUGCAAUUAACCAUCUUGUAUGUUUGUGCUCGAUACGGCAUACUGUAUUUAUCCUUUUCAAUGUACAAAAUUAUACCAACCCAGCCAUGGCACCUCGUACUGUUGGUAAUACAGUUGUAUGUUUUUCGUUUGUGUUGAGGCGCCCUCUUGUGGCCUGUGUUAGCCCACUGUAUCUUUCAAACUUACUGACUUUGUUGUGACAAUGCCAGAGACACCUGCAUGUAAUCUUUUUGGAGUUAUCUUUCGAAUGACAAAAAUGGGAGCAACCAAUUUAGUUACUCAAAUCUGUCAAUUUGUAUAUCUAAAAAAAAAUGUAUUUUUUCGAUUAUCUAUAUUUUUCUACUUUUUGGCAAAAUGCAAUAUUCAUAUAUGAUAUAUCAGUAGGUUCAGGAUUCAAAUCUUUGGUCUGACAACGGGUUUGGAAAGGAAUUGGAAGGUAAGAAAUAAAAUUAAAGAAUAGAAGUUACGGAGGCAUUGGAAUACCAGAUAAAAAGCCUGAUUAUCUCCUGCGCAGUCCCUGCUAAUGACGGUGGGAUGAAAAACUUCCGAGGAGCAUCAUUGGUAAUGGUGGCAGUACAAAGUCAAGAUAUUUUGUUCCAUAAGCUUGCAGCAAUUAGAGAUGGCCUUCAUAUGGCGAAGAAUAACUGUUGGUGCAAUACUGAUAUGAGAUCAGAUUCCAGUGCAGCUAUUGCAAUGUCAAGAACGAGUACAUAUGUCCCUAGAGGAGGCGCCUUCUUUUCUUCCAAAGCCAGAAUUGAUUUUUUGGCAUUUUACAAACCUAAUUCCACAGAAAAUUACAAAAGCCGACAACUCUUGUGAUUCCUGAGGAGACUUAUAAAUUACCCAAAACCUCCCCCCCCCAAACCUUCGAUAUGGGAUAACAACCUAAGCAGACGAGCUGCUGCUAAGACCUAAAGAGACCUCACUCAACGCGGUACAAGCUGUUGUCUUUUCUUCCAAAACCAGAAUUGACUUUUUGCCAUUUUACAAACCUAAUUCCACGGGAAACCACAAAAACCGGCAACUCUUGUGGUUCAUGAGAAGACUUAUAAACUACCCAAAACCCCCCCCAAACCUUCGAUGUAGGAUAACAACCGAAGUAGGCGAGCUGCUGCUAAGACCUAAAGAGACCUCACUCAACCCCGUACAAGCUGUUGUUUUUUCUUCCAAAGCCAGAAUUGAGUUUUUAGCAUUUUAUAAACCUAAUUCCACAGGAAACUACAAAAGCCAGCAACUCUUGUGGUUCUUGAGAAUACUUAUAAAUUACCUAAAACCCCUCCCAAACCUUCGAUGUGGGAUAACAACCUAAGCAGGCGAGUUGCUGCUAAGACCUAAAGAGACUUCACUCAACCCGGUAUAGACUGUUGUCUUUUCUUCCAAAACCAGAAUUGACUUUUUGGCAUUUUGUGACGGCCCCACCUUCCCCUAAGGCGAACCAGAGGGUUCGGCGGGCCGCCUGUCCGGCUCUCGCCGGGACUCAGUCGUUCACUAAAGUCUUCAAAUGAAUUACAAGAAUAAACCUCAAAUAUACAUCACAUGAUCCACAAAUAUACAUCCAAAUCUGCAAUAAUUACAUGUCACAAAUGCAGCGGAAACUAAUUCCCAACUAUACAUCAAAUGAUUCCAAAACCAAAACUGUACAAGAUAUAGGCCAUCCAUUCACGUGAAUAAGCACAACAAGUCCUGCCUUCGCCUUGAGCCCUGUGGAGGGGAAUAAAAUAUUUUUGGGGUGAGUUAGAAACUCAGUGAGUAACCAGAAAAUCAGUAAUCAAAUCGGUUUAACAAUAUUUCUUUUCAAUGAUGUCAUAAAUCAAUGAUGUCAUAGAUCAAAUGAUAAGUCCAGAAACGAUUACAGCAUUUACAAAACAUUAAAUAUGGAGUAUCAAUAAUUCAAGAAACAUGUACAAUGGAAAGCGAUAGUAACAUUCAUGAAAGGAUACGUUCAUUUUUUUAUAAAUAAUCCAUCGUUCAUCUUUUUUAUUCGUUCAUCUUUUUUUUUCCCCGGACGUUGGCCGGUCUCCACCCAUCCGGACGUAGCCGGACUCCACCCAUCCGGACGUAGCCGGACUACAAGGUAAUACUCGAGUAUACCAAAUUCACCCAGGGUCACCAUAUCGUACGACCGAAUCCGCUUCUGGCUCGAAUCGAUCGGUAACGAAGGGCAGGGUCCAAUUCAGCCAAACGGCUUACAUUCAUGCGCAACUAACAUUUCAAUAAUUAAAUCCUUGAAAAUUGCACAGUUAUUUAGGUCGAGUGCGAUAAAGUACACACUCGCCUAGAAAGCUCGUUUUGGAAAUCAUUCAAAGCACUUAACACGUUAUCAAUCAAUAAUACAAGUCAUGAAGUCAAGAAAAUAUAGCAAAUAAGGAACACUCACAUGCAAGCACGCAUGAUAUGCAAGAAAACAGUUCAAAAGUAAUUUUGGAAACAGUUUAAAGGUAAAUAAUGCAAGAAAACGGUACAAAAGUAACUUUGGAAACAGCUCAAAAGUAAAUAAUGCAGGAAACGGUUCAUAAAUAACUUCAGAAAUAGUUUGAGAUCACUCACCUCCAUGGCUCAGAAACCAUUCAUCAUAUAUCAUUGCCUUGCUCAAAUCCAAGUCUUAGAUCACAAACUCAAAGCAAUCAAAUCCUUUCAAAGUGCGGACAGCACUUCCACUAAAUUUGCUUACUUUUCCAGCCGUCAAGGCUUCAUUAUUUCCUCAGCCAGUUCCAAAGGUACACACAUAACAACAAGUUCAUCCAAUAGCCAUUCAGCAAACUCCAAGUAGUACUAGUACCAGUCAAACUAGGGAAAAGUUUGGAAAUGAAAGUUAAGUUCAAAACCAGAAAAACAGUUUUGACGUCAUUUUGCGGUAAUGGUACCAAAGGCACUACGAUUGUCGGAUGAAGGUACAAGAUACACCGUUUCGAAGCUAAGAGAUAGGGCUACAAUAUUGAAGAAGGUCACUCAAUCCAGUUUCGAGUGUAACCAGGUCAAAAAUGCAAGAUACUACACCAGAAUCACAAAAACAGCUUCACAGAACGCAUUCUAGCGGAAACAUCAUAACUCAGGCUCUCCAAGUCCAAAUCCAGAAAUUCCAAAACCAGCUGAAAGCUAAGAAAUAGGGCUAAAUUUCAUCAGAAGGCCUCAACAUCCAAUUUGGAAGCAAUUCCAGCCAAAACAACCAAUUACAGUCGCAAAUCCCAAUUUCGGGUAAACCAGAACAGCAAUAGUAAUUUCGACUUUUCUCACUCUACGCUACUCCGAUUAACCUGAAAUUUUGUAGGCACCUCUAAAAUGUCAUUCCCUACAACUUUCAUGUUUUAAGUAAAGGCCAAUUCGGCCUCUAUCUAGGACCUAAAAAUUCGGACAGAAUGUUCAUCACAAAACCCUCACUUUUCAAUUUUUGGUCCAAAACAGAAAUUGGUUGCAAUUAAUCACUUUUUCCACCUCCUAGAGUCAUUAAACAUCAUUUCCAAUCAUCAUAUAUAACCACACAACCAUGUUCAUAUUAAAACAGAAAAAAUCCCCAAAAAUUAUAAAACUUCAUCAAGUCCACCACAACUCAAGAUAUAAUCCAUCAAACCAUCUCUUUAACCAUCACAAGUCACUAAUUAAACAUGAUUGAGAAGAAAAGAGAGGUUCCUUAGCUACUCACCUUACCAACUCAAGAAAGGAAGCAAUUUAGCACCUUGGUCUUCCAAACCACUUCACAACCAACCUUAAUACCACU